RNAcentral lists this ribosomal RNA (440 nucleotides) under uncultured bacterium. RNAcentral describes it as "partial 16S ribosomal RNA". It matches the Rfam family "Bacterial small subunit ribosomal RNA", at positions 338 to 795 of the family's 1533-position model. The record is from RNAcentral.
CCUACGGGUGGCAGCAGUGGGGGAUAUUGCACAAUGGGGGAAACCCUGAUGCAGCGACGCCGCGUGUGGGAAGACGGUCCUCUGGAUUGUAAACCACUGUCCCCAGGGACGAAGAUGACGGUACCUGGGGAGGAAGCUCCGGUCAACUACGUGCCAGCAGCCGCGGUAAUACGUAGGGAGCAAGCGUUGUCCGGAAUUACUAGGUGUAAAGGGGGCGUAGGCGGGUUGGCAAGUUGGGUGAUAAAUCUACCGGCUCAACUGGGAGUCACACUCAAAACUGCUAUUCUUGAGUGAAGUAGAGGCAGGCGGAAUUCCUAGUGUAGCGGUGAAAUGCGUAGAUAUUAGGAGGAACACCAGUGGCGAAGGCGGCCUGCUGGGCUUUUACUGACGCUGAGGCUCGAAAGUGUGGGGAGCAAACAGGAUUAGAUACCCCAGUAGUC